GACGAACGCUGGCGGCGUGCUUAACACAUGCAAGUCGAGCGGUAAGGCCCUUUCGGGGGUACACGAGCGGCGAACGGGUGAGUAACACGUGGGUGACCUGCCCUCAGCUCUGGGAUAAGCCUGGGAAACUGGGUCUAAUACCGGAUAUGACUUCGCAUCGCAUGGUGUGGGGUGGAAAGUUUUUCGGCUGGGGAUGGGCCCGCGGCCUAUCAGCUUGUUGGUGGGGUGAUGGCCUACCAAGGCGACGACGGGUAGCCGGCCUGAGAGGGCGACCGGCCACACUGGGACUGAGACACGGCCCAGACUCCUACGGGAGGCAGCAGUGGGGAACAUUGCGCAAUGGGCGGAAGCCUGACGCAGCGACGCCGCGUGGGGAUGACGGCCUC
This 386-nucleotide ribosomal RNA is filed under the name uncultured bacterium. Its description in RNAcentral is "bacterial SSU rRNA". It matches the Rfam family "Bacterial small subunit ribosomal RNA", at positions 28 to 418 of the family's 1533-position model. The record is from RNAcentral.